CCAUGCACCAAGGAAAUUGAACUACUGUCUCUAAAUUCUUUCUCCUGGGAAUCACAACAAAGCCUAAAGAGCAGCAGUUUAUCUUCAUGCUGUUUCUAUGCACGUAUCUGGUCACUAUGGUAAGAAAUUUACUUAUCAUCCUGGCCGUUGUCAGUGAUGCUCACCUCCAUGGCCCCAUAUAUUUCUUCCUUGCCAAUCUAUCUUUCACUAACGUCUGCAUCACAACCACUACAGUCCCCAAAAUCUUGGCAGAUAUUCAAAGCCAGAAUUCAACCAUAUCCUUUGAAGGAUGCCCUGCACAAAUGUAGUUUUAAAUAUUCCUGGUGGAUCUGGAUAAUUUCCUAUUGGUAGACAUGGCAUAUAAUUGAUACAUUGCCAUCUGUCACCCAUUACACUAUAUGUGGUAGUACUGAGUCCCAAGAACUGUGCCCUGUUGGUUGUGACUCCAUGGGUUAUCUCCAACCUUGUCUCAAUACUGCAUCUCAGUCUGCUAAGCCACUUAACUUUCUGUGAUUUCACAUAUCUUCUAUGACCUGGAACCCAUUUUAGGGCUUGCUUGCUCAGACACCCAAAUCAACAACUUGAUAAUUACUGCCAUUGGGGAAGUAGUUAUCUUCAUCCCCUUUACCUUCACAUUCUUGUCUCCUAUGGCCUUAUUGGCAGCACUAUGCUUGGAGUUCCAUCAGCCAAGGGGAAGUAGAAAACAUUCUCUACAUGUGGUUCCCAUCUCUCAGUUGUGCCCCAGGUCUUCUAUGGGUUCAUCAUUGGAGUCUACUUUCUCUCCUUUUUUGCCUACUCAGCAGAAAGGGAUGAGGUAGCUGCUAUCAUGUAUACAACUGUAACUCACUUGAUCAAAUCAUUUAUCUGUAGUCUAAGGAACGAGGACAUGAAAGGAGCACUGAGGAGACCACUCAGC
This 916-nucleotide long non-coding RNA is filed under the name Homo sapiens (human). Its description in RNAcentral is "non-protein coding lnc-OR13H1-4:1". Lineage: Eukaryota; Metazoa; Chordata; Mammalia; Primates; Hominidae. The record is from RNAcentral.